Molecule: long non-coding RNA, 609 nt
Organism: Mobula hypostoma (lesser devil ray)
Lineage: Eukaryota; Metazoa; Chordata; Chondrichthyes; Myliobatiformes; Myliobatidae
Exons: 4
Source: RefSeq, a predicted model, not a curated record
UUUGACAGAAAUGUUCAAAAUCCUGCAGGAUCUUGACAAAGUGAAUAACGAGCCGUUGCCUGCCCUGGGGAAACGAUCGAGAAUAGGGGAACUGAGAUAGAAUGGUGCCUUCCCGGCUAUACCUGCAGGUGUCUUAAUAAUUAAGGUACUGAAUGUUUCCGCGGCUAAACGGCGUUUCUUCAGGUAGGACGUUUGUCUCAGUGGAAAUAUGGCUGGCAUCCCCUGUGGUCACUAUGAAACUGCUGAAUUGUGAACAACUACCUCGCUCGCUAAUGUUCUCAGGGAAAGUAAAUUUCUCUUCCUCGUUUAAUCCGGCCUGUCCGAGACUUCAAAUACACGGCUUCCUAAUUGCCUGGGUGCAGAAUAUAAUAUAAAUAACUCUUUGGAUACCGGAUACUGUUUAUUGUCGUAUCUAUACGUGGAGGAAUAUCGUGAAAGAAUGAAUCUUGCCCUGCAUAUCUGGACGCUGAUGCCUCUCUUAACGACAACUGCCAGAAAAAUAGAUGUAUUUCAAUCACCACCUUCCAUUGAGACCGUCGAAGGAGAGACAGUCAACCUUCUGUGCACGUAUAACACAACGUAUAAGGGCAUCGGGGCGUUUAUGUGGUA